UUCGCCCUUAGAGUUUGAUCCUGGCUCAGAGCGAACGCUGGCGGCAGGCCUAACACAUGCAAGUCGAACGGACCCUUCGGGGUUAGUGGCGGACGGGUGAGUAACACGUGGGAACGUGCCUUUAGGUUCGGAAUAGCUCCUGGAAACGGGUGGUAAUGCCGAAUGUGCCCUUCGGGGGAAAGAUUUAUCGCCUUUAGAGCGGCCCGCGUCUGAUUAGCUAGUUGGUGAGGUAACGGCUCACCAAGGCGACGAUCAGUAGCUGGUCUGAGAGGAUGACCAGCCACACUGGGACUGAGACACGGCCCAGACUCCUACGGGAGGCAGCAGUGGGGAAUCUUGCGCAAUGGGCGAAAGCCUGACGCAGCCGUGCCGCGUGAAUGAUGAAGGUCUUAGGAUUGUAAAAUUCUUUCACCGGGGACGAUAAUGACGGUACCCGGAGAAGAAGCCCCGGCUAACUUCGUGCCAGCAGCCGCGGUAAUACGAAGGGGGCUAGCGUUGCUCGGAAUUACUGGGCGUAAAGGGCGCGUAGGCGGAUCGUUAAGUCAGAGGUGAAAUCCCAGGGCUCAACCCUGGAACUGCCUUUGAUACUGGCGAUCUUGAGUAUGAGAGGGGUAUGUGGAACUCCGAGUGUAGAGGUGAAAUUCGUAGAUAUUCGGAAGAACACCAGUGGCGAAGGCGACAUACUGGCUCAUUACUGACGCUGAGGCGCGAAAGCGUGGGGAGCAAACAGGAUUAGAUNCCCUGGUAGUCCACGCCGUAAACGAUGAUUUGCUAUUUGUCGGGCUGCAUGCAGUUCGG
This 798-nucleotide ribosomal RNA is filed under the name uncultured bacterium. RNAcentral's name for it is "bacterial SSU rRNA". It matches the Rfam family "Bacterial small subunit ribosomal RNA", at positions 1 to 843 of the family's 1533-position model. The record is from RNAcentral.